Molecule: ribosomal RNA, 822 nt
Filed under: Acinetobacter baumannii
Lineage: Bacteria; Pseudomonadati; Pseudomonadota; Gammaproteobacteria; Moraxellales; Moraxellaceae
Description: partial 23S ribosomal RNA
Rfam family: Bacterial large subunit ribosomal RNA
Source: RNAcentral
UGACUUGUGGAUAGGGGUGAAAGGCUAAUCAAGCCUGGUGAUAGCUGGUUCUYCCCCGAAAGCUAUUUAGGUAGCGCCUCGGACGAAUACCAUAGGGGGUAGAGCACUGUUUCGGCUAGGGGGUCAUCCCGACUUACCAAACCGAUGCAAACUCCGAAUACCUAUGAGUACUAUCCGGGAGACAGACUGCGGGUGCUAACGUCCGUAGUCAAGAGGAAAACAAUCCAGACCGCCAGCUAAGGCCCCAAAAUCAUAGUUAAGUGGGAAACGAUGUGGGAAGGCAUAGACAGCUAGGAGGUUGGCUUAGAAGCAGCCACCCUUUAAAGAAAGCGUAAUAGCUCACUAGUCGAGUCGGCCUGCGCGGAAGAUGUAACGGGGCUAAAACUAUGUGCCGAAGCUGCGGAUGUAUACUUUGUAUACGUGGUAGGGGAGCGUUCUGUAAGCCGAUGAAGGUGUGUUGAGAAGCAUGCUGGAGGUAUCAGAAGUGCGAAUGCUGACGUGAGUAACGACAAAACGGGUGAAAAACCCGUUCGCCGAAAGACCAAGGGUUCCAGUCCAACGUUAAUCGGGGCUGGGUGAGUCGACCCCUAAGGCGAGGCCGAAAGGCGUAGUCGAUGGGAAAAUGGUUAAUAUUCCAUUACUUCUGUGUAAUGCGAUGAGAGGACGGAGAAGGCUAAAUCAGCCUGGCGUUGGUUGUCCAGGUGAAAGGAUGUAGGCAUGUAUCUUAGGCAAAUCCGGGGUACUCUAUGCUGAGAUCUGAUAGCAAGCUGUACUUGUACAGCGAAGUGGUUGAUGCCAUGCUUCCAGGAAAAGUCUCUAAGU